This 1358-nucleotide ribosomal RNA is filed under the name Rapana venosa (veined rapa whelk). RNAcentral describes it as "16S ribosomal RNA". It matches the Rfam family "Bacterial large subunit ribosomal RNA", at positions 486 to 2769 of the family's 2925-position model. Lineage: Eukaryota; Metazoa; Mollusca; Gastropoda; Neogastropoda; Muricidae. The record is from RNAcentral.
CAUGUAAAUUAAAAAUAAAAGAUAUUAUAUCAAUUAAUUAAAAACAUUUAUAAGUUUAGUAAUGGUGAAAGAAAUUUACCUUAUAAAUUAACAAGUACUGAGAAGGAAAAUAAUAAUUAAAUAAUAGAAAGAAUAAAUUUCUGUACCUUUUGCAUCAUGGUUUAGCUAGAUUUAAUUUUCUUAAGAAAUUUCUCGAAAUCUAAUGGGCUAUUUUCAACCAGUAUUAUUAGAUACUAAAAACUAGUUGUAGCAAAAAUUUUUUUAGAGUUGAAAAUAGAAAUGAAAUUUUAUCCGUAUUAGGUGAUAGCUAGUUCUUUUUUAAAGGUAUAGAAGUACUGAAAAUUUUUUAAUACUACAGAACAUAAAAUCUCUAGUAUAUAUAAAAUUUUGUUAGACUUUUGAGGAUAAGCUCAAAAGUAAAUUAUUUUUGUAUUAUAAUGUGUAGUUAAAUUUAGGCUUGAAAAUGGCCAUUAUAUAUGAUUUUGUUAUAAUUUCAUUACUUUUAACAACAUAGAAUUAAUUUACUUUUAAUUAAAAAAGGAAGUCUUUAAAUUUAAAGUAAGACUAAGCACAUGCUAAAAUGAGUAUUAAUUAGCUUAUAAUUUUUAUUGUUGUAGAAUUAUAAAUUAAAUAAAGUAUUUUUAUUAUAAAUUGAUGAAAGGAACUCGGCAAAACUAAAUUCCGCCUGUUUAUCAAAAACAUGGCUCCUCGUUUUUUUACUAUGGGGAGUCGGACCUGCUCAGUGAAUACAUUUUUAACAGCCGCGGUACUCUGACCGUGCAAAGGUAGCAUAAUCAUUUGCCUUAUAAUUGAAGGCUAGUAUGAAUGGUUUGACGAGAAUUAAGCUGUCUCUUUUCAACUAAAUAUAAUUUUAUUUAUAGGUGAAGAAGCCUAUAUUCUAUUGAAAGACAAGAAGACCCUAUCGAGCUUAAAAGAAUUUAAUAAAUUUAUCAUAUAUUUAUAAAAAAGUAAAAUUAUUAAAGAUUUUGGUUGGGGCGACUGAGGAACAAGAAAAGCUUCCUUUAUUUUCAUUAAAACUUACAAGUAUUGAUCCAAUAAAUUUGAUUAAAGAAAUUAGUUACCGUAGGGAUAACAGCAUAAUCCUCUUUGAGAGCCCUUAUCGAAAAGGGGGUUUGUGACCUCGAUGUUGGACCAGAAUAUCCAGAAGAUGCAGCCGUCUUCAAUGGUUGGUCUGUUCGACCAUUAAAAUUCUACGUGAUCUGAGUUCAGACCGGCGUGAGCCAGGUCAGUUUCUAUCUUCAAUUUUCAUAAUGGCUUUAGUACGAAAGGACCAAGCUAUUGCAAAAUAAUUUGUAAUAUUUGAUUAAAUAUAAAGAGUAAUUAAAUUUCUAAUAAAC